AAUCCUCAAAAAGAAACCUUCUCAGGAGGGGCUUCUCUUUUGGAAUUGGGGUGUGCUGGCCUCUGUAUGAAGCCCCAGCUCCCCUGAAAUAUAUUAGCGAUGUGACAUCCACAUGCAUCACGCUUCCUUGGCAUUGAUAGUUAUUCAUGCCUAAGUUGCGCAGCAGCUGUGGAAAGGUUCGCUCGCUCACAAUUGAUGAUGUGGGUUUUACUCACCAUCCUCUGACCA
This 228-nucleotide unclassified non-coding RNA is filed under the name Hygrocybe marchii. RNAcentral describes it as "partial internal transcribed spacer 2". Lineage: Eukaryota; Fungi; Basidiomycota; Agaricomycetes; Agaricales; Hygrophoraceae. The record is from RNAcentral.